RNAcentral lists this ribosomal RNA (206 nucleotides) under uncultured bacterium. RNAcentral's name for it is "partial 16S ribosomal RNA". It matches the Rfam family "Bacterial small subunit ribosomal RNA", at positions 568 to 774 of the family's 1533-position model. The record is from RNAcentral.
CACGUAGGCGGAUAUUUAAGUCAGGGGUGAAAUCCCAGAGCUCAACUCUGGAACUGCCUUUGAUACUGGGUAUCUUGAGUAUGGAAGAGGUAAGUGGAAUUCCGAGUGUAGAGGUGAAAUUCGUAGAUAUUGGAGGAACACCAGUGGCGAAGGCGGCUUACUGGUCCAUUACUGACGCUGAGGUGCGAAAGCGUGGGGAGCAAACA